CUUUAAUGUUUGAUGUUCUAACGUGGACCCGUAAUCCGGGUUGCGGACAGUGUCUGGUGGGUAGUUUGACUGGGGCGGUCUCCUCCUAAAGAGUAACGGAGGAGCACGAAGGUUGGCUAAUCCUGGUCGGACAUCAGGAGGUUAGUGCAAUGGCAUAAGCCAGCUUGACUGCGAGCGUGACGGCGCGAGCAGGUGCGAAAGCAGGUCAUAGUGAUCCGGUGGUUCUGAAUGGAAGGGCCAUCGCUCAACGGAUAAAAGGUACUCCGGGGAUAACAGGCUGAUACCGCCCAAGAGUUCAUAUCGACGGCGGUGUUUGGCACCUCGAUGUCGGCUCAUCACAUCCUGGGGCUGAAGUAGGUCCCAAGGGUAUGGCUGUUCGCCAUUUAAAGUGGUACGCGAGCUGGGUUUAGAACGUCGUGAGACAGUUCGGUCCCUAUCUGCCGUGGGCGCUGGAGAACUGAGGGGGGCUGCUCCUAGUACGAGAGGACCGGAGUGGACGCAUCACUGGUGUUCGGGUUGUCAUGCCAAUGGCACUGCCCGGUAGCUAAAUGCGGAAGAGAUAAGUGCUGAAAGCAUCUAAGCACGAAACUUGCCCCGA
Molecule: ribosomal RNA, 598 nt
Filed under: Salmonella enterica
Lineage: Bacteria; Pseudomonadati; Pseudomonadota; Gammaproteobacteria; Enterobacterales; Enterobacteriaceae
Description: partial 23S ribosomal RNA
Rfam family: Bacterial large subunit ribosomal RNA
Source: RNAcentral